Molecule: ribosomal RNA, 253 nt
Filed under: uncultured bacterium
Lineage: Bacteria
Description: partial 16S ribosomal RNA
Rfam family: Bacterial small subunit ribosomal RNA
Source: RNAcentral
UACGUAGGGCGCAAGCGUUGUCCGGAAUUAUUGGGCGUAAAGAGCUCGUAGGCGGUUUGUCGCGUCUGUUGUGAAAUCCUAAGGCUCAACCUUGGGCUUGCAGUGGGUACGGGCAGACUAGAGUGCGGUAGGGGUGACUGGAAUUCCUGGUGUAGCGGUGGAAUGCGCAGAUAUCAGGAGGAACACCGAUGGCGAAGGCAGGUCACUGGGCCGCAACUGACGCUGAGGAGCGAAAGCAUGGGGAGCGAACAGG